This 3428-nucleotide long non-coding RNA is filed under the name Ailuropoda melanoleuca (giant panda). Its description in RNAcentral is "lncRNA (ENSAMEG00000029249.1)". The record is from RNAcentral. Lineage: Eukaryota; Metazoa; Chordata; Mammalia; Carnivora; Ursidae.
UUUGCAGUUUUAUGCAGACGGAUUUUGCCGAUGGAUGCUUAGGGCGUCUUAAGCCCCUGUAUGUGCAUCUUUGGGGCCACGUUUUGGCUCUUGGGGAGGAAGCAUGCAGGCUUCGGGAGUCUGGGAGCAGCGAGCAAGGGGAUGCCUUCUGUGGGUUUUUCCGUUGAGUGCACAUCUCCCAACGGUUACUACGGCAACACCGACUGGGACUACGGCCGCUACCCGCCCAGACCCAAGCCGCCCGCAGCAGGUGGUGGCAGUUACUACCCCAGCCACGACGGGUCCGGAAACACGCACGGUACGCCUAGCACCUGGGCCCCCGGUGGGCAGGGGGGUGGGGGUCGUCUUUGCAGGGGCUCCCCCCUGCAUCCCUAUCACAGCCUCCUCCUGGGGUCUUCGGUGUUGGCACUCUGUCUGCUGGCAUCCGGGGUUCCGAGCCUUCUCUGCACUGCCCGUCUGGCUUGGCCGCGUCCUGCCGUCCACGGUCCUGGAGUCCAGGUAGCAGAAAACAAACAGGCAUGUAGCCACAGUCACCAGGGGGAGGCCAUCCAACACAUGGGGCACUUGUUCUUACGCGGCUGACCUAGUGCCAACAGAAAACGCUUCGGGGUGUCAGAUUCUGUCAAGAACGGAUAGAAAUGUCCACUGGAGUGAUUCGAGGGGUUCUUGUCUACACUGAGCUGUUCGUAAAUAGAUCAGCGGAUCUUGAAGCCCUCGGACGCUCUCUGCUUCCGUAAGGGAAGACUGAGAACAUAACGUCAUCGCUGGGAACACAAAAUGCUACGGGUUGAUUUUUUUUUUUUUUGGAUUGAGAUACAAUUGACUUGUAACAUUGUAUUCAUUCCGGGUGUGCGACACAGGGAUUCAACGUUUAUUAUAUGUUGCAAAGGAAUCAGGGCUCUAAGUCUGGGGAGUGUCCAUCAACACACGUUGUUAUAAACUUUAUUUUUUUGUGUCCAUUGGCACACACAGUUACAAAUUUUAUUUCUUGUGUCAUCAGCACAUAGAGUUACAAAUCUUAUUUUUUGUGCCUAUCACCACGCACAAUUUUUUUUUGUACAUUGGCACAUGUAGUUAUAAAUUUUAUUUUUUAAAUUUUUUUUGAAGAUUUUAUUUUCUUAUUUGACAGAGGGAGAGCAAGCACAAGCAGGGAGAGCAGCAGAGGGAGAGGGAGAAGCAGGGCCCCUAUACGGGGCUCGAUCCCAGGACCCCGGGAUCAUGACCUGAGCUGAAGGCAGACGCUUUACCGACGGAGCCACCCAGGCAGCCCACAAAUUUAGUUUUUUUAUUGUAAAUUGAGAACCUUAAAGAUUUACUCCCUUACCAACUUUUAAAUAUAGGCUACAGGAUUGUUAACUAGGGGCCCCAUGCUCCACGUGACGUCCCAGGACUUAUUCGUCCUGUAACGUCUCGUUUCUAUCUUUGACUCCCCUUCUCCCAUCAAUCGAUUUAUGGAUUGAUUUCAAAGCAUUAUUUUUCUUCUCUGUUUGCCACCUGUUAAGGCUUUUGUGCAUCAUACGUGAAUUGAGUGGUUUAUCUUUUGGUUGAAACGGAAGUUUGUAUGGUGCGUGUGCAAGGUCCUUUUGGAGAUGUGGUCCCAGUAAGCUCCCUCAGCUCUGAAGGGCAAAUUAUUAUUUUUUUUCUUUUUUUUCCUUUUUUUAAAGAUUUUAUUUAUUCGACAGAGAUAGAGACAGCCAGCGAGAGAGGGAACACAAGCAGGGGGAGUGGGAGGAAGAAGCAGGCUCCCAGCGGAGGAGCCUGAUGUGGGGCUCGAUCCCAGGACUCUGGGGAUCACACCCUGAGCCAAAGGCAGACGCUUAACCGCUGUGCCACCCAGGCGCCCCCAAAUUAUUAUUUCUAUCCUGUUUUCCAGCAUAAAGGUGAAGCACGGUGCUCAAACAGUCUGCUUUAAGGGACAGAUAUCUGUCACCGUAUAGAUGGCCCUGUCCCCAUAACGCUCCCUCCAAGGUGCACAAAUUGCUUAUAUGGGACAGGUGGUGUGUGAAGGGUCCUAGUUGAGAGGGGUCGAGAGCUGUCUUCUUUAAGCUCAAUGUGCCCACGUCAUGCUCCCAUCAUCCUCUUUCCAUGGAAAUUGUGGGACAAAAGCUUAUUCAAUAUUUUCAUAAGCAGCCACGUCGAACGUCGUAGGGUCAGAUGACGCCCCCACAUCCCUCGGGCCAGGGAGGUAUCCCGAUCCUGAGAUGCGUUUACCCCAUGCAUGUGUCUCUGAAGGUUCUCCCUCCACGAGGACCCUUUCCAGACCCUCUCGUUUUAUUCUUUGCCGGAUUCAUAAGCGGGAAAGAAAUGACUCAUCUAGCAGUGCUCUCGGGAGCCCUAAGGAUGCCUACAUCUUUUCCCCAGGAACUUAGUCAGGACUCUGAUCACAGCCCACCAUUUCUUGGGGACCUGCCUCCCUGCUGCGUGCAGAAAAGCACACUCAUCAGGAUGAUUAUUCACCCCGCGGGCAAAACGUCUGCAAAACAGCCCGCGCUCUCUGGCGGGGCCGGGGUCAAGCGCAGAGAGCUGCAGGACAAAGCCCGGCUGACGUUCACAGUUUUCCGGGGGGCCACAGUCACUGGCGUGUGAGGCUCUUGGAAAGAACAUCCGGCCCCGUCCAUGUCAGGACCCCUGUUUCACGGCACUGAGCUGCACCAGGCUGUGAAUCUGCUCUCAAAUUAGCACUGAGGAUUGGGCUCAUGCAACAGGGGACCGGGCCACCCAGCUUCUCCCUGCAGGUGGCAGAACCAAUUGGGCAAUGUCCCUUCCUCCUGCACAGAGGGCACCAGUCCUAACAGAUUAGUGACCGCAUUCUAGUGACCUCGUUUUACCUUACUUUUGAACGUUGCUACCUUUAAAGUCCCCACCUCCAAGCGCGGUCCCGUUCUGAGGUCCUGGGGACCUAGGACUUCAACAUAUGAAUUUUGGGGAGGGGGACAUGGCUCAGCCCAUAACCCCCAUCACCCAGUUGGAAGAGACAGUUGAUCAAAUGACCCAUCAGUGUGCAAACAGCACCCACAAAAACACUUCCGGUUCCAAAUUAACAAAAUUAGCGUCAAGCGGUUCGUUUGUCAUCUCAUACCUUGGUUGAGAAAUUGGUCUCCAGACAUCAGAAGAAGGUACCAGAAAUAUUUCUUUUUUUUUUUUUUUAAAGAUUUUAUUUAUUUGACAGAGAGACAGCUAGCGAGAGAGGGAACACAAGCAGGGGGGGUGGGAGAGGAAGAAGCAGGCUCAUAGCAGAGGAGCCUGAUGUGGGCCUCGAACCCAUAACGUGGGGAUCACGCCCUGAGCCGAAGGCAGACGCUUAACUGCUGUGCCACCCAGGCGCCCCCAGAAAUAUUUCUGUUCCACCGGCCGGGAUGGCUAGAGUCUGUGCCCACGGCCCUCCAGAGGUUGACCUCACAGAAAGCGUGUUUGCAUGUGAGCUAAGG